This 495-nucleotide ribosomal RNA is filed under the name uncultured bacterium. RNAcentral's name for it is "partial 16S ribosomal RNA". It matches the Rfam family "Bacterial small subunit ribosomal RNA", at positions 30 to 507 of the family's 1533-position model. The record is from RNAcentral.
UGACCGCUGGCGGCGUGCCUACUACAUGCACGUCGAGCGAACAGACGAGGAGCUUGCUCCUCUGACGUUAGCGGCGGACGGGUGAGUAACACGUGGAUAACCUACCUAUAAGACUGGGAUAACUUCGGGAAACCGGAGCUAAUACCGGAUAAUAUAUUGAACCGCAUGGUUCAAUAGUGAAAGACGGUUUUGCUGUCACUUAUAGAUGGAUCCGCGCCGCAUUAGCUAGUUGGUAAGGUAACGGCUUACCAAGGCAACGAUGCGUAGCCGACCUGAGAGGGUGAUCGGCCACACUGGAACUGAGACACGGUCCAGACUCCUACGGGAGGCAGCAGUAGGGAAUCUUCCGCAAAGGGCGAAAGCUUGACGGAGCAACGCCGCGUGAGUGAUGAAGGUCUUCGGAUCGUAAAACUCUGUUAUUAGGGAAGAACAAAUGUGUAAGUAACUAUGCACGUCUUGACGGUACCUAAUCAGAAAGCCACGGCUAACUACGUG